UACGGGGGGGGCAAGCGUUGUUCGGAAUUACUGGGCGUAAAGGGCUCGUAGGCGGCCAACUAAGUCAGACGUGAAAUCCCUCGGCUUAACCGGGGAACUGCGUCUGAUACUGGGUGGCUUGAAUCCGGGAGAGGGAUGCGGAAUUCCAGGUGUAGCGGUGAAAUGCGUAGAUAUCUGGAGGAACACCGGUGGCGAAGGCGGCAUCCUGGACCGGCAUUGACGCUGAGGAGCGAAAGCCAGGGGAGCAAACGGG
RNAcentral lists this ribosomal RNA (253 nucleotides) under uncultured bacterium. RNAcentral describes it as "partial 16S ribosomal RNA". It matches the Rfam family "Bacterial small subunit ribosomal RNA", at positions 524 to 776 of the family's 1533-position model. The record is from RNAcentral.